CGGCGGACGGGUGAGUAACGCGUGGGUAACCUACCCUGUACACACGGAUAACAUACCGAAAGGUAUGCUAAUACGGGAUAAUAUAUUUGAGAGGCAUCUCUUGAAUAUCAAAGGUGGGCCAGUACAGGAUGGACCCGCGUCUGAUUAGCUAGUUGGUAAGGUAACGGCUUACCAAGGCGACGAUCAGUAGCCGACCUGAGAGGGUGAUCGGCCACAUUGGAACUGAGACACGGUCCAA
RNAcentral lists this ribosomal RNA (238 nucleotides) under uncultured bacterium. RNAcentral's name for it is "partial 16S ribosomal RNA". It matches the Rfam family "Bacterial small subunit ribosomal RNA", at positions 96 to 334 of the family's 1533-position model. The record is from RNAcentral.